Peromyscus maniculatus bairdii (prairie deer mouse) is the source of this 434-nucleotide non-coding RNA. NCBI's taxonomy places the organism in Eukaryota, Metazoa, Chordata, Mammalia, Rodentia, Cricetidae. The record is from RefSeq and is a predicted model, not a curated record.
GCAUGGCGGGCGGACUCACCCCUCUGAAACUAUACGCCCGAACAAACGCUUCCAAGACCUUGAUUCCUGACCACUUGUGGGCCCGACCUACUAGAACGUUCCCUCCUUUUGUGGAAAGACUUCAGCUACCAGCAAUGGGCAUGUUCCCUGGGGGGAUGGGGAGUACUGAACUCUGCAUCCAUCCUUAGUGGUGGCCUGACCGUGGCCCAGUAGGCUCUGGGGCAAACAAAAGCUUGAAGCCAGCUCUGGCCUGGCUGGAAAGGAAGACAUACACACAGGAAGUCCCGAGCAAGGCGGGACAGGAUGUGCUGUCCACCGUCAUCAGCUCUUUCUUACCCUCCGCCCGUCUCUGCUGGAUCAUGUUCUGCUUUGCAGGCCAAUGGACUGUGUCAGAGAUUAGAAUUCUUUAAUAAAUAAUUCUUUCGUUGAUUCUC